CGAGUUAUCUGAACCUUCGGGGAACGAUAACGGCGUCGAGCGGCGGACGGGUGAGUAAUGCCUAGGAAAUUGCCCUGAUGUGGGGGAUAACCAUUGGAAACGAUGGCUAAUACCGCAUGAUGCCUACGGGCCAAAGAGGGGGACCUUCGGGCCUCUCGCGUCAGGAUAUGCCUAGGUGGGAUUAGCUAGUUGGUGAGGUAAGGGCUCACCAAGGCGACGAUCCCUAGCUGGUCUGAGAGGAUGAUCAGCCACACUGGAACUGAGACACGGUCCAGACUCCUACGGGAGGCAGCAGUGGGGAAUAUUGCACAAUGGGCGCAAGCCUGAUGCAGCCAUGCCGCGUGUGUGAAGAAGGCCUUCGGGUUGUAAAGCACUUUCAGUCGUGAGGAAGGUAGUGUAGUUAAUAGCUGCAUUAUUUGACGUUAGCGACAGAAGAAGCACCGGCUAACUCCGUGCCAGCAGCCGCGGUAAUACGGAGGGUGCGAGCGUUAAUCGGAAUUACUGGGCGUAAAGCGCAUGCAGGUGGUUUGUUAAGUCAGAUGUGAAAGCCCGGGGCUC
RNAcentral lists this ribosomal RNA (558 nucleotides) under Vibrio harveyi. RNAcentral describes it as "bacterial SSU rRNA". It matches the Rfam family "Bacterial small subunit ribosomal RNA", at positions 63 to 610 of the family's 1533-position model. Lineage: Bacteria; Pseudomonadati; Pseudomonadota; Gammaproteobacteria; Vibrionales; Vibrionaceae. The record is from RNAcentral.